UCAAUUAUUUAUAGCCUCUGGCUAUAGGAAAUUGUUAGUGGCAGACGGGUGAGUAAUGCGUAGGAAUCUACCUAGUAGUACGGAAUAGCCAUUAGAAAUGGUGGGUAAUACUGUAUAAUCCCCGAGGGGGAAAGAUUUAUCGCUAUUAGAUGAGCCUACGUUAGAUUAGCUAGUUGGUGAGGUAAUGGCUUACCAAGGCUAUGAUCUAUAGCUGGUCUGAGAGGACGAUCAGCCACACUGGAACUGAGAUACGGUCCAGACUCCUACGGGAGGCAGCAGUGGGGAAUAUUGGACAAUGGGCGAAAGCCUGAUCCAGCUAUGCCGCGUGAGUGAAGAAGGCCUUCGGGUUGCAAAACUCUUCCAAUAGGGAAGAUAAUGACGGUACCUAUAA
Molecule: ribosomal RNA, 391 nt
Filed under: Ehrlichia canis
Lineage: Bacteria; Pseudomonadati; Pseudomonadota; Alphaproteobacteria; Rickettsiales; Anaplasmataceae
Description: bacterial SSU rRNA
Rfam family: Bacterial small subunit ribosomal RNA
Source: RNAcentral